Molecule: ribosomal RNA, 255 nt
Filed under: uncultured bacterium
Lineage: Bacteria
Description: partial 16S ribosomal RNA
Rfam family: Bacterial small subunit ribosomal RNA
Source: RNAcentral
GCCUACGGGGCGCAGCAGUAGGGAAUCUUCUACAAUGGACGAAAGUCUGAUGGAGCAACGCCGCGUGAGUGAAGAAGGGUUUCGGCUCGUAAAGCUCUGUUGGUAGCGAAGAAAGAUAGAGGUAGUAACUGGCCUUUAUUUGACGGUAAUUACUUAGAAAGUCACGGCUAACUACGUGCCAGCAGCCGCGGUAAUACGUAGGUGGCAAGCGUUGUCCGGAUUUAUUGGGCGUAAAGCGAGUACAGGCGGGUUAAU